GUUUGAUAGAAGUUUUUUUUACAUUUAUUUUCAUACUUUAUAGGAAAAAUUUUUUUUUCUAAUGGUUAUAUUUCUUUUUUAAUAGAAAGAGUCUUUAUAGAUCAAUUUUGUGCCAGCCUUCGCGGUCAUACUUUAUUUAUGGUAUUUAUUAUAGUUAUAUAGAUUUUGCAUUGUAUUUUUUUUUCUUAGGUGAAAUUAUUAAAAAAAUUUUUUUUUUCUUAUUAUCUGUAAUUUUUUUACAGACUAGGAUUAGAGACCCUUUUAUGUUUAGGUUUUAAUAAAGUAGUAGUAUGUUAAUUUAAACUUAAUUUUUCUGGCGGUUUACUAUACUUUCAGAGGAGCUUGUCUUUUAAAGGAUAACCCGCUUUUAUCUUUACCUUCUUUUUGUUUACGUACGGCUGUAAUGUUUUAAGGUUUAUUUUAUUGCUUAAAAAAAAUUUUUUUAAAAUUCAGGUCUAUGUGUAGUAUCUAGGAAGGGGUCUUAUGAGCUACCUUUUUUGUAUUUUAUUUUGUUUAAAAAAAAAUUGGAUUUGAGAGUAAAUUAAUGAUUAAACCUUUUAUUGAUUAAGUUUUUAGUAAAUGUACAAAUCGCCCGUCACUCUUUUGAUAGAUAAGUCGUAACAAAGUAGCUCUACUGGAAGGUGGAUCUUGUUUGCAGAUUUAUUAGUU
This 669-nucleotide ribosomal RNA is filed under the name Histiostoma feroniarum. RNAcentral describes it as "12S ribosomal RNA". The record is from RNAcentral. Lineage: Eukaryota; Metazoa; Arthropoda; Arachnida; Sarcoptiformes; Histiostomatidae.